AAGUCGUAACAAGGUUUCCGUAGGUGAACCUGCGGAAGGAUCAUUCACACAAUUUGUAGGAUAAUUACACGAUAAGGAUAGUAUAUGUAGUGUGGUCAUAUAUGGGGCAUUAAACAAUAACACGUGAGAUGUUCUAUGUGUGAUUAUAUUAUAUGUGCUGUUCAUGUCCCUAUCUAUCUAAUAUCUAUUUACCACCGACACACCCCUUGACUGCCUGUUUCGUGCACAACGGCUAUUGAUGUGGUAAAACACAACGAAGGUCGCCUUACACCUUUCUUCAUUGCAUGAGCAGCGGCAACUGUAAGUGUAAUGAUGUCAUUAGUCUGAGCCCUUCUAGGGUGGAAAUGUAGUAAUACGUAUAAUAACAUACAACUCUUUGCAAUGGAUAUCUUGGUUCUC
Molecule: unclassified non-coding RNA, 399 nt
Filed under: fungal sp.
Lineage: Eukaryota; Fungi
Description: partial internal transcribed spacer region
Rfam family: Eukaryotic small subunit ribosomal RNA (bases 1-46)
Source: RNAcentral